RNAcentral lists this ribosomal RNA (397 nucleotides) under Escherichia coli. Its description in RNAcentral is "bacterial SSU rRNA". It matches the Rfam family "Bacterial small subunit ribosomal RNA", at positions 1126 to 1522 of the family's 1533-position model. The record is from RNAcentral. Lineage: Bacteria; Pseudomonadati; Pseudomonadota; Gammaproteobacteria; Enterobacterales; Enterobacteriaceae. RNAcentral also lists the same sequence under 8 other names.
UCCGGCCGGGAACUCAAAGGAGACUGCCAGUGAUAAACUGGAGGAAGGUGGGGAUGACGUCAAGUCAUCAUGGCCCUUACGACCAGGGCUACACACGUGCUACAAUGGCGCAUACAAAGAGAAGCGACCUCGCGAGAGCAAGCGGACCUCAUAAAGUGCGUCGUAGUCCGGAUUGGAGUCUGCAACUCGACUCCAUGAAGUCGGAAUCGCUAGUAAUCGUGGAUCAGAAUGCCACGGUGAAUACGUUCCCGGGCCUUGUACACACCGCCCGUCACACCAUGGGAGUGGGUUGCAAAAGAAGUAGGUAGCUUAACCUUCGGGAGGGCGCUUACCACUUUGUGAUUCAUGACUGGGGUGAAGUCGUAACAAGGUAACCGUAGGGGAACCUGCGGUUGGA